AGUGAACGCUGGCGGUAGGCCUAACACAUGCAAGUCGAACGGCAGCACAGUAAGAGCUUGCUCUUACGGGUGGCGAGUGGCGGACGGGUGAGGAAUACAUCGGAAUCUACUUUUUCGUGGGGAUAACGUAGGGAAACUUACGCUAAUACCGCAUACGACCUACGGGUGAAAGCAGGGGAUCUUCGGACCUUGCGCGAUUGAAUGAGCCGAUGUCGGGUUAGCUAGUUGGCGGGGUAAAGACCCACCAAGGCGACGAUCCGUAGCUGGUCUGAGAGGAUGAUCAGCCACACUGGAACUGAGACACGGUCCAGACUCCUACGGGAGGCAGCAGUGGGGAAUAUUGGACAAUGGGCGCAAGCCUGAUCCAGCCAUACCGCGUGGGUGAAGAAGGCCUUCGGGUUGUAAAGCCCUUUUGUUGGGAAAGAAAAGCAGCAGGUUAAUACCCCGCUGUUCUGACGGUACCCAAAGAAUAAGCACCGGCUAACUUCGUG
Molecule: ribosomal RNA, 491 nt
Filed under: uncultured bacterium
Lineage: Bacteria
Description: partial 16S ribosomal RNA
Rfam family: Bacterial small subunit ribosomal RNA
Source: RNAcentral